This 85-nucleotide transfer RNA is filed under the name Felis catus (domestic cat). It matches the Rfam family "tRNA". Rfam says of the family: Transfer RNA (tRNA) molecules are approximately 80 nucleotides in length. Their secondary structure includes four short double-helical elements and three loops (D, anti-codon, and T loops). Lineage: Eukaryota; Metazoa; Chordata; Mammalia; Carnivora; Felidae. The record is from Rfam by way of RNAcentral.
ACCUGGGUGGCUCAGUUGGUUGAGCAUCAGACUCUGGCUCAGGUUAUGAUCUCACGGUUCAUGGGUUCAAGCCCCAUAUCAGGCU